Molecule: long non-coding RNA, 291 nt
Organism: Herpailurus yagouaroundi (jaguarundi)
Lineage: Eukaryota; Metazoa; Chordata; Mammalia; Carnivora; Felidae
Exons: 3
Source: RefSeq, a predicted model, not a curated record
UUACUCUUCCGAUCUCAUCGCCAUCCCUUGCAACAACAAGGGAGCAUGCUCAGUAGGUCUGAUGUGGUGGAUGCUGGCCCCAGGAAGUUCUGCGCAUGCAUGGCACCAUUUCCAGUGAACACCCAUGGGAGGUCAUAUUUGAUCUCUACUUCUGCAGAGAUCCUGAAGACAUUGAAAAGGAAGAGCAGGCUGCUACUGAAAAAGGCUGUGACCAAAGAGGAAUAUCAGGGUGAAUGGGCUUCACCAGCUCCUGAGUUCAAUGCUCCUCAACCUGAAGUCAUAGACUCAUCA